RNAcentral lists this unclassified non-coding RNA (1172 nucleotides) under Hevea brasiliensis (rubber tree). Lineage: Eukaryota; Viridiplantae; Streptophyta; Magnoliopsida; Malpighiales; Euphorbiaceae. The record is from RNAcentral.
GUUUGAUUUAUCCUUUAUGCAGUGUAAUUCUUAUUAUUUUGGCUGAAUUUGGGUCAUUGUCUAUGAAAACUGGGUUCAGAUCAGUCUCACUGAACUAUCAUAGUUGAGGCCCAUCUGAACUGCUCUGUUGACCGUAAAUAGCGAAAGCCUAAAGCUUCCCCUUUUCUUAGUUCUCACAUUCCUUUGCGCUGUAUAUAUUCGUGAAAAAGUUUGGAAUCUGAAAUUCUCCCGCCAAAAAGAGUGCGAAAAUGAAGGACUAUCAUACUCCACUAAAGGAAGAUCUCUCCAAUCGGAAAUCCAAGGAGUCUCGAUUGAAGAAGCCUCAAAAGAUCGCUAAGAAAAGCUUGAAUGGUGCGUUUGCCUCGGUUUCUGAAGAUGUUUUGUUCGAGACCGUAAAGGAAUCCAGUGAUUUCUCUGCGAUUUCAGAGAUCUCAGACGCUAAUUCUACCAGCCAAAUGGCACAAAGUUCUGUGUUGGAGUUCAAUCCGGUUCUUUCAGCUUCAUUAGAAACAUUGCCUCUCUGUGAUCUUACUCUGACUUCAAAGAUUCUCGCAACCUCUGCUGAUCCAGGCGAUGUGUCUAUGGAGCUUUCCCGAUUCCGCAAGCCAGACGGUUCUGUGGAGAUAGAUAUUGUGGCCAAUUUCCUCAAACAAGCUCGAACUCGGGUCUUAAACUCCACUAAUGCGGAUCAGCAGUCGAAGAAGAUCCUAGAUGCAUUAAUUAAGGUUGUGCUAGAUGAGUACCACGCUCUACCUGAAGAGAUGGACUGGUACUCUGGACUUGUUUCUGUGAAAGUUCGCGUCGUGUUUCUUUGCUUCUUGAUUUGGGGCUUCAUAGUCUCUGUGAUAUUCUUUUUGGGUUUAAGAUUGGACUCUUACAGUGGACCCUCACCAACUUGAACCAAUAUGAAGAGAGCCUCCCGAUCAAUGUUUGGGCCUGCCACGAGUAUUUCACGCUCCAGAUGUUCGAUUAUGGGUAUAAGAAGAGUGUUAAGAUCUCACAAUAAUAAUGUACCUCUUAUAUGGACUACUAAAAUAUUAUUGUUUGUCUUAUAUGGCGAACCUUUGAAUCGAGGCCUUCAUUGCUCAAAAAUUUCACCUCCCUGUCAUUGCUUUUGUCCAAGUAUAUCUAUUUGGCUAUCACGUUUGUAUGCACAACUUUGUUGUUUUCUG